RNAcentral lists this ribosomal RNA (549 nucleotides) under Xerus rutilus (unstriped ground squirrel). Its description in RNAcentral is "partial 16S ribosomal RNA". It matches the Rfam family "Bacterial large subunit ribosomal RNA", at positions 1826 to 2595 of the family's 2925-position model. The record is from RNAcentral. Lineage: Eukaryota; Metazoa; Chordata; Mammalia; Rodentia; Sciuridae.
CACUCUAGCAUAAAAAGUAUUAGAGGCACUGCCUGCCCAGUGACAUUCGUUCAACGGCCGCGGUAUCCUGACCGUGCAAAGGUAGCAUAAUCAUUUGUUCUCUAAAUAGGGACUUGUAUGAAAGGCUUAACGAGGGUUUAACUGUCUCUUACUUCCAAUCAGUGAAAUUGACCUUCCCGUGAAGAGGCGGGAAUAACCAAAUAAGACGAGAAGACCCUAUGGAGCUUAAAUCUAUUAACCCAAGCAUACAACAGCACCCUGCUCUACGGACAUGCAAAAACCUGCUAAUGGGUUAAAAAUUUUGGUUGGGGUGACCUCGGAGCAUAGACCAAUCUCCGAAUGAUUUUAAUUGAGACACACCUGUCUAAACCUUAAAUCAUCCAUUGACCCAAUAUAUUUUGAUCAACGGAACAAGUUACCCUAGGGAUAACAGCGCAAUCCUACUCAAGAGUUCAUAUCGACAGUCAGGGUUUACGACCUCGAUGUUGGAUCAGGACAUCCAAAUGGUGCAGCAGCUAUUAAUGGUUCGUUUGUUCAACGAUUAAAGUC